Nanorana parkeri is the source of this 428-nucleotide non-coding RNA. Lineage: Eukaryota; Metazoa; Chordata; Amphibia; Anura; Dicroglossidae. The record is from the annotation of a RefSeq genome assembly.
UCUUGGAAGUCAAUGAUCUGUUUGUGUGACAGUCCAGACACAUCAAGAUGGUCCCUCUUCCAUAUCUGCUCUGUGUCCUUUAUCUUUAUACAGAAGCCUCUUAUGGAGAGAUUGUGAUGACGCAGACUCCACAAUAUAUCGCAGUGGCUCCAGGAGAGAAUGUGAACAUAAACUAUAAAUCAAGUUCUGAUGUUACUUACUCAGAUGGUGACAGUGGAAUAUUUUGGUUCCAAAUGAAACCAGGUCAGCCCCCAAAACGUCUUAUCUAUUAUGCAACCAAUCGUGCAUCUGGAGUCCCGGAGAGGUUCAGCGGCAGUAGAUCGGGAUCUCCGUACAAUGAUUUUACUCUGACAAUCAGUGGAGCUCUGGCAGAAGAUGAAGCCGAGUAUUACUGUAUGCAGAGCAAGAGCACCCCACUCACACAGUGA